Molecule: ribosomal RNA, 497 nt
Filed under: uncultured bacterium
Lineage: Bacteria
Description: partial 16S ribosomal RNA
Rfam family: Bacterial small subunit ribosomal RNA
Source: RNAcentral
GAUGAACGCUGGCGGCGUGCCUAAUACAUGCAAGUCGAGCGAACGGACGAGAAGCUUGCUUCUCUGAUGUUAGCGGCGGACGGGUGAGUAACACGUGGAUAACCUACCUAUAAGACUGGGAUGACUUCGGGAAACCGGAGCUAAUACCGGAUAAUAUUUUGAACCGCAUGGUUCAAAAGUGAAAGACGGUCUUGCUGUCACUUAUAGAUGGAUCCGCGCUGCAUUAGCUAGUUGGUAAGGUAACGGCUUACCAAGGCAACGAUGCAUAGCCGACCUGAGAGGGUGAUCGGCCACACUGGAACUGAGACACGGUCCAGACUCCUACGGGAGGCAGCAGUAGGGAAUCUUCCGCAAUGGGCGAAAGCCUGACGGAGCAACGCCGCGUGAGUGAUGAAGGUCUUCGGAUCGUAAAACUCUGUUAUUAGGGAAGAACAUAUGUGUAGGUAACUGUGCACAUCUUGACGGUACCUAAUCAGAAAGCCACGGCUAACUACGUG